Molecule: ribosomal RNA, 440 nt
Filed under: uncultured bacterium
Lineage: Bacteria
Description: partial 16S ribosomal RNA
Rfam family: Bacterial small subunit ribosomal RNA
Source: RNAcentral
CCUACGGGGGGCUGCAGUGGGGAAUAUUGCACAAUGGGGGAAACCCUGAUGCAGCGACGCCGCGUGAGUGAAGAAGUAAUUCGUUAUGUAAAGCUCUAUCAGCAGGGAAGAAAAUGACGGUACCUGAGUAAGAAGCCCCGGCUAACUACGUGCCAGCAGCCGCGGUAAUACGUAGGGGGCAAGCGUUAUCCGGAUUUACUGGGUGUAAAGGGAGUGUAGACGGCAGUGCAAGUCUGGAGGGAAAGGCGGGGGCGCAACCCCCGGACUGCUCUGGAAACUGUACGGCUGGAGUGCAGGAGAGGUAAGUGGAAUGCCUAGUGUAGCGGUGAAAUGCGUAGAUAUUAGGAGGAACACCAGUGGCGAAGGCGGCUUACUGGACUGUAACUGACGUUGAGGCUCGAAAGCGUGGGGAGCAAACAGGAUUAGAUACCCCAGUAGUC